GGGUUGUGAGGUUAAGCGACUAAGCGUACACGGUGGAUGCCCUGGCAGUCAGAGGCGAUGAAGGGCGUGCUAAUCUGCGAUAAGCGCCGGUAAGGUGAUAUGAACCGUUAUAACCGGCGAUACCCGAAUGGGGAAACCCAGUGUGACUCGUCACACUAUCAUUAACUGAAUCCAUAGGUUAAUGAGGCGAACCGGGGGAACUGAAACAUCUAAGUACCCCGAGGAAAAGAAAUCAACCGAGAUUCCCCCAGUAGCGGCGAGCGAACGGGGAGGAGCCCAGAGCCUGAAUCAGCAUGUGUGUUAGUGGAAGCGUCUGGAAAGGCGCGCGAUACAGGGUGACAGCCCCGUACACAAAAGCGCAUGUGCUGUGAGCUCGAUGAGUAGGGCGGGACACGUGGUAUCCUGUCUGAAUAUGGGGGGACCAUCCUCCAAGGCUAAAUACUCCUGACUGACCGAUAGUGAACCAGUACCGUGAGGGAAAGGCGAAAAGAACCCCGGCGAGGGGAGUGAAAAAGAACCUGAAACCGUGUACGUACAAGCAGUGGGAGCACAGGUUUACCUGUGUGACUGCGUACCUUUUGUAUAAUGGGUCAGCGACUUAUAUUCUGUAGCAAGGUUAACCGUAUAGGGGAGCCGGAGGGAAACCGAGUCUUAACCGGGCGUUAAGUUGCAGGGUAUAGACCCGAAACCCGGUGAUCUAGCCAUGGGCAGGUUGAAGGUUGGGUAACACUAACUGGAGGACCGAACCGACUAAUGUUGAAAAAUUAGCGGAUGACCUGUGGCUGGGGGUGAAAGGCCAAUCAAACCGGGAGAUAGCUGGUUCUCCCCGAAAGCUAUUUAGGUAGCGCCUCGUGAAUUCAUCUCCGGGGGUAGAGCACUGUUUCGGCUAGGGGGCCAUCCCGGCUUACCAACCCGAUGCAAACUGCGAAUACCGGAGAAUGUUAUCACGGGAGACACACGGCGGGUGCUAACGUCCGUCGUGAAGAGGGAAACAACCCAGACCGCCAGCUAAGGUCCCAAAGUCAUGGUUAAGUGGGAAACGAUGUGGGAAGGCCCAGACAGCCAGGAUGUUGGCUUAGAAGCAGCCAUCAUUUAAAGAAAGCGUAAUAGCUCACUGGUCGAGUCGGCCUGCGCGGAAGAUGUAACGGGGCUAAACCAUGCACCGAAGCUGCGGCAGCGAACGUAUCACUUAAAGCGAUUCAGCGGAUGACGAUUGACGGAGCGAAGCGACGUCAAAGCGUAUACAAAGUCGAGUCGGUUUAAGGAUACGUUCGUUGGGUAGGGGAGCGUUCUGUAAGCCUGCGAAGGUGGCCUGUGAGGGUUGCUGGAGGUAUCAGAAGUGCGAAUGCUGACAUAAGUAACGAUAAAGCGGGUGAAAAGCCCGCUCGCCGGAAGACCAAGGGUUCCUGUCCAACGUUAAUCGGGGCAGGGUGAGUCGACCCCUAAGGCGAGGCCGAAAGGCGUAGUCGAUGGGAAACGGGUUAAUAUUCCCGUACUUGGUGUUACUGCGAAGGGGGGACGGAGAAGGCUAUGUUGGCCGGGCGACGGUUGUCCCGGUUUAAGCGUGUAGGUGUGUGUUCCAGGUAAAUCCGGUUCACUUUAACACUGAGGCGUGACGACGAGGCACUACGGUGCUGAAGCAACAAAUGCCCUGCUUCCAGGAAAAGCCUCUAAGCAUCAGGUAACAUCAAAUCGUACCCCAAACCGACACAGGUGGUCAGGUAGAGAAUACCAAGGCGCUUGAGAGAACUCGGGUGAAGGAACUAGGCAAAAUGGUGCCGUAACUUCGGGAGAAGGCACGCUGACAUGUAGGUGAAGUGAUUUACUCAUGGAGCUGAAGUCAGUCGAAGAUACCAGCUGGCUGCAACUGUUUAUUAAAAACACAGCACUGUGCAAACACGAAAGUGGACGUAUACGGUGUGACGCCUGCCCGGUGCCGGAAGGUUAAUUGAUGGGGUCAGCGCAAGCGAAGCUCCUGAUCGAAGCCCCGGUAAACGGCGGCCGUAACUAUAACGGUCCUAAGGUAGCGAAAUUCCUUGUCGGGUAAGUUCCGACCUGCACGAAUGGCGUAAUGAUGGCCAGGCUGUCUCCACCCGAGACUCAGUGAAAUUGAACUCGCUGUGAAGAUGCAGUGUACCCGCGGCAAGACGGAAAGACCCCGUGAACCUUUACUAUAGCUUGACACUGAACAUUGAGCCUUGAUGUGUAGGAUAGGUGGGAGGCUUUGAAGUGUGGACGCCAGUCUGC
This 2247-nucleotide ribosomal RNA is filed under the name Salmonella enterica subsp. enterica serovar Rissen. Its description in RNAcentral is "partial 23S ribosomal RNA". It matches the Rfam family "Bacterial large subunit ribosomal RNA", at positions 1 to 2179 of the family's 2925-position model. Lineage: Bacteria; Pseudomonadati; Pseudomonadota; Gammaproteobacteria; Enterobacterales; Enterobacteriaceae. The record is from RNAcentral.